RNAcentral lists this long non-coding RNA (3032 nucleotides) under Mus musculus (house mouse). Its description in RNAcentral is "long non-coding RNA chr14:11867593-11870625". The record is from RNAcentral. Lineage: Eukaryota; Metazoa; Chordata; Mammalia; Rodentia; Muridae.
UCAAAAACCAAGGGGGAGGCUAUGCCUAAGGUUGAACUCUGACCUCCAUGUGAGGUCACACACUAGCACAAACAGGAACACACAAAGUAUACGUGUCAAGUUCAAACAGUUUAGACAGUGUGUUUUUCAUGGGGUGUUGACUCUUGCAGGGUAAAGACACUCUCAUCUCAUCGCGUGUUUUCUUUGAUUUCCUUUUCUUUUGUGCUUAGAUCUCUUUUACCCACAGACACUCACUGCUAAUGUGUUGCUUUAUGUGGUAUUUUGUGUGUUCUAGAUCAUGAUAUCUUGUUUCUUAUUUCAUUCAGAACCAUCUUCUGAGGUCUGUCUGAAUUACGCCAUUCUUGCUCAUUACCUUUGAGUAGUAUGUAGUGUUCUCUAUAUUCGUCCACUUUUCCUCUUGUGUUUAACUCUUCCCACAGUGAAGAGUUCCCUUGCUUGUCUACAUCUUUUGCUUCUACUCACAGUAUUAUAUGGGCAUCUUUAUACUUAAUAUCCCCUGGAUUUGUGUAUAAAAAGAUAUUUCAUUAGAGUUGUAUGUAUAUGUAUGUGAUUGUGUGUGUAUUUGUAUGUGGGAGUGUGUGUAUAUGUGAUUUAUAUAAGUGUGUGUGAAUGUGAGUGCAUUAUAUAGGUGUGAGUAUGCAUAUAUUGUGAGUACACAUGUACAUGAGUGUGUGUGUACAUUUUUGUGUACCUCCAAAUAUUCAUAUAUCUAUCCCAAAGUGCAUUUCUUGAAUUUUUAUUGAAUUAAUAAAUUUUACAUAUGUACUGAAUUGGAUGAUGAGCUCGUGAAUUCCAGCAAUAUCUGCUCCCUAGUAUGACUGAGCAGUCUUUCUUCUGCUUUAUCAAUCUACCUUGCUUCAUAUCUAGCUGUGGAAGAACCAGUACAUGAAUCAUGGGCAGCUAGUGCUUCCCCUUCCCAUCUCUGGACUUAAGGUGGCUCGGUAUUAUAGCUGCAUUAUCUUUUGCUAUGGCCUCUUUUUUCUACUUUAAGUAUCGCCUUUUUUGUACUUGCAUUUUCUCAACCAAAUUGGUUGUGGGUGAAGACCAUUGAUUGCUGUGCUCAGUGUGGACUUGGCGGCCAUGAAGUUCCCUGUAAGAUCACCCUGCAUCUGACCUUUUCGUCUGGGUCUUGCCUUUGUCCUUGGCCUUGUUCCUCACUUCCUUUCUUCAUAUCAGCGCUGGCAUUCUUGAGAGGCAGCCAGGGACAGACUGCCCAAGCCCUGUGGGAUCGCUGUCUAAUUUGAACUGCCAUUGGCUUCCGGUGGCACUUGGAAGCAGGUCUGAGCAUCUUGGCGAUCUCAGGUUCUUCCACAGGAUAUGACCUUUGACUUGUGCUCUUCCUGUUUUAGCUGCUUUCUGGAGUGUGGCUGCCCCCACCCUCUCACCCCACUCCCUCACUGCUACUUCCAUUUCCCAUGCAUCUUCAGCUUUGGUUUGUCUGUGCCCCAUAGCUAUCUUCAUUACCUCCUUUGAUGUUCUUUUCUACACUUUAUUUCUGUAAACUAAUAAUUAAUAUAUUAUGUGUUUAAAGAUAAAAAAGGCAGUGGAGAGCUGAGGUAGGUCUCUGGUGAACUGCAGAAGGCUAGAGUCCUGUGCCUUUAUUGUUUCCUAACGUCUUCCAUACUAGUUACUUCUCCUCUCCCUAUGAUCAAGUACUCAGUUUGAGGAUACAGUCCAUCACAGCAGGGAUUUCAAGGCAGCAGGAGCUUGAAGCAGUUGGUCACAAUGUAUUCUCAAUUCAGGAAAAACAGUCUUAUUCUCUGCUGGCUUUCUCCUUUGUACAGUCUAUGACGAAAGAGCUGUCUACUCAGAAUGAUGCAGCCCAUCUCCAUUAACCUAAUAAAGGAAGUCCCUUGCUGGCCUGCCCAGAGGUUGCCCACAUCUAGACAACCCCUCAGUGGUAUGUUACGGGUAUUUGGAGAUCUUGUCAAGCUAUCAAUAAAUUAAACAUUAAAUAUCCAUAGCACACAGAUAUCCCAAGGGAUAAAAGUGUUUAUGAGGUAACUACUAGUUAGCACUUUGGCUUCCCAUGUAACAUUAAGACCAACAUAUUCCAAUGAGCCUGCUUUUCAUUUUGUGUUUUACAGUUAGUAUAUAAAUACAUUUCAUUGCAAUUUUCUUGUGGGCUGAAUAUAUAUGUGUCUAUUAAAUAUAUGUAUCUUUCUGUUAGAAUUGCCUACGAGUGUAUUUUUAAUGGGAUAUGUUAUGCAUGUCUUUAGCAAAAAUGCUAUUAUGCACUACGGUGCUUUGUCAUGGUUUGUCUAAUUAUUUCCGUAUGUUGAAGCGUUGUUUUCAAUUUCAUUAUUUUUUAAUGAAAUGUAAUAUUUUUUGGUCUAAAUGACCACCCCCCUCCUGGUUAUUUCUUUGAAAUUACUGCUAUUGAACAGUUCUUAUUAAAGGCUGCAGGAUCAUUUAGGAAGAUUGAAGCUGAGUUCAUGGCUGGCAGUGUAUGCCUGUUUAUCUUGUGCCCCUCCAGAAUUGGGUUUUAUAAUUUCAUUGUGUCUUAAUAGCCCUGAAGUAUAACUUUAAAGUUCUUCCUAUUUGUGUUCCAUUCCCUGCUAGAAAGUCUGAUUUCGAUCCUCGAUUUCCUCUAUUGCCCCUGCGCUCUUUGAUGCCCUCCUCGGGUCACCAGAUCGUCUUUCUGUGAGUUCUACAGGGAGCAGGGCUGGCCGUACCCAGCUUUGGUUUGUUUGUGGUAUUUUUGGAGCCUCACAGAAGGCACUUCUAAAAGUAUUCUUUAAUUCUCUGAGAAAAUGUGUGGCAGUCAAGAGUCAGCCUGGGAUAUCCUGCUUCUUUAGAAGUGCCAUGUGGUCACUUUUCCCAUGCCUAAGUAGUGAGCAAAACAGUGAUGGCUGGCAUCAGUUGUCUAUGGAGCUUUGCAUCGAACGCUCAGCUCUUCACAUGGGAGUAUGUGUUCUUGGUCCCCCUUUAAGUGUAAAAUUUAUUUAUGCAGAAUCAUUUAGCAUUUGCUCUCCAACUCAAAAGGCAGAGCUUCACUUAAGCCUUACUCGAUUACCCUUUAAUGUAAAUGG